UAUUAAAAAUUUCAUCAAUUUCUACUGUUAAAAGUAGUGUGCAUGAUGAAAUAACCAUACAGAUACAUGUUAUGUCACAUGUACCUCAUAUUGAAGUACAAGGACCAAUUUUUAACAGUAAAAUUGGAUAGAAUUUUUAAUA
Non-coding RNA from Gossypium hirsutum (cotton), 142 nucleotides. The record is from Rfam. Lineage: Eukaryota; Viridiplantae; Streptophyta; Magnoliopsida; Malvales; Malvaceae.